RNAcentral lists this long non-coding RNA (4517 nucleotides) under Schistocerca americana (American grasshopper). RNAcentral's name for it is "uncharacterized LOC124619356". Lineage: Eukaryota; Metazoa; Arthropoda; Insecta; Orthoptera; Acrididae. The record is from RNAcentral.
ACAAAGCAAGUGCAUUAUUAUUUAAGUGAUAAAUGGUGGGUUCAGCCAUGAAAAUGAAUGAAUUACACUUUCUAAAUGAAAGGGCUUUAUCAUAGAGUUACAUAAGUAUGAAGUAUGUAUUACAUGGUGAAGAAUGAGUGACCUUUUUUUAUGAUGUCCUUUAAAAAAAUUUUUGACUGUGAAUCCCAGCUACAAAAAGUGUAAUGAGUGACUAGUCUACAGCUUAAUACCAUACCUAGCAUGCCAAUUGGCUGAUAGAUCCUCUGGAAAAUGUGUACUUACUCAACAAUUUGCACACGAGGGAUAGUGUCUGGAUAAACCCUAGCUGAUUGUACAUUGGUUUAUUUGUUAUAUAAUACAGGCUUAGCGGAAACUGACAUCAUCAGUGAGGAAUGACAGCAGUGUAAGACACUUUGUUUUCUGUUACCUUGGGAUCAGUGUAAGACUUUUUUCUUGCUACCCUGCGAUACCAAAAAGAAAGCAGGUUUAUUUCCUUUAUCAUUGCCUGUCUUGUUGCACUUUGAAUGAUUUACUAUAUCAGUAUCCUAAAUGCAAAGUCUUCUGUAGCUAAGCCCAGUCUGAAUAAAACUUAUUUGGACAUUAGGCCAUAUGGUAUGCAAAACAAUGGUACUUAUAAAAUGAAAGCCAACAUUGUAACCAGUUUCCAACUGUCCACUUCAGGACAAUGAAACUGUUGGUUUCUGAAGGCGGUCUUCACUAUUUAUUGCCUGUUGACUUGGGACAGUCCAGUGAGAUGUCACAUGGCAACUGAAACAGGAUGCAAUAUACACUGAAGGCUGUCUUCAGAAUCAAACAGUUGUUUUUAUCCCCUUAGAAAUGUUAAUUUUUUGUAGUUCCUGUUUAGUAUUCAAAUUUGUAAGGGUAAUUAAAAACCCUGUUAUUAACUGCUAGAGGCAGAAAUUGUGCAACAUAUGCGUUUAUAAUUACAACUGUCCGCCCCUGAUAGCUGAGUGGUCAGCACGACGGAAUGUCAUACCAAAUGGCCCAGGUUCGACUCCUGGUUGGGGUGGAGAUUUUCUCAGCUCAGGGACUGGGUGUUGUGUUGUCCUUAUCAUUAUUUCAUCCCCAUCAACAUGCAAGUCGCCGACGUGGCGUCAACUCGAAAGAUUCACACCAGGCAAAUGGUCUGCCCGACAGGAGGCCCUAGCCACACGGCAUUUACAUUGCAACUGAUUGUAUACUGUGCAUUGUAGGGUAUAAGAGGCAAUGUGCAACUCUGUGGUAUCUAAGUAUUAUCAAUAUGAAUUCUUACAAAUGACAGUUGUUUAUGAAAUUCACAUUCUACAUUUUUCUAAAUGUUUAAAAUGAGCUUACAUUCUCGACGUGUGUUUACACAUUUUGUUUCAUUUGCCGUAGUCCUCAAUGAAAUUUCACCACAUGACAAUUUCAAUAGAAUGUUAUAUAAUUUAUAUUCAGUAUCAUAUUACUAGGACUAAUAUAUCAAUGAAACUCAUCAGUUUUUGAAACUGUAAUGUAAUUACAUAGAUUAAAAAAAAAUCUACUCGCCAGGCAGUGGCAGCAGAACACACUUACAAAGGUAUUAGAGUUUGCAAGCUUUCUGAGCCAGUGGCUCAUUCUUCUGGCAGAGCUGAUGAAGGGAAACAAAGGAGACUGAAGGAAAAGGACAGGUGAGGUGUAGGAAAAAUGGAUAGUGUUCAGAAAAGUGGCCCAGAACUCUAUUUUUCUACUGUAUUUGUGAUGAACAAAGCCCUUUGUUAGUAAUUUUUGGUUAUGUUUUAUCAGGAUUUUUCAUUCUUAUCCAUUUCUUGUUGACUUUCUUUCACAUUACUCUCUAUAUGUCCACUCAACAAAAGAGAGAUGAUUUCAUGAUCACCACCAACACUCCAAAAUAGGCAGAAGCAUACAGACCGAAACAAAGGUUCUUUCUCAGUUUUCUAUGCUAGACACUUUAUUUUCUCUUACUGCUUGCUUUUCUUGUUCAUCUACUACUACUUCUACUACUGUCACUGUUACUACUUCUGCCGAUACUUCUGACUUGCCAGCCUUAAGUUGGAACAGCCUAAGUAUGGCAGUUACAUUACACCGUUGUUUUUCUCCCCACAGAUCUUACAGAAGAAUGGUAAUGAAGAAUGCACUAUGUGGCUGUUGUCUACGGAAUUUGCAACAUGCAUUCCCAUUUGAUUUUGUCUGUUGUGUUUUUAUUAUCAAUUUUAUUUGUUUCACUGCAACUUCUUCUUAUACUAAGCAUUUUCUUCUUCUACUCUGUCCCCCCCCCCCCCCCUCCCCCUUCCUCCCUGCCAUCCCAUUCUCAUCAGUUUUUUUUAUCUUGGUGUCCAAGAGUGUAGUCUAGAUAACUGUGUAAACAUUGGCACUGCCUUAUAGUAUUUCAGUUGAGCCUUAUUCUUUACUAUUACUCCCUGGUAGUUCUUGCUAUCAUGUCGCAUUUCUUUUGUUAGACAUUAGGUUUGCUACUUAUGUGUUUGUUAUCACUUUAACUUAAAUCACAUAAAAUAGUGGAAAUGUGAUAUUUGCUCCAACGCUGUGUCAAGCAAUUAGUGCUAUUGGUGAAAGAUGAAUGCCCUGCAUCUCUAGAACCUUUGGCUAAGAGAGAGAACCUACAGAGAUUGAAGCAAGGAGGCAGACCUCAUCUUAUCCAAACAAGAGGUCGGUACCCUCUUGUGGGGACCUCUACACAAACAUCCUUGAAAUUUGGAUAUUGCUGUUAAAAGGGGGAGUUCUAUCAUUACAGAUGUGUUAGAUGAUUAGCAAAAAUAAAUUAUUGUUGUGUAAAUAUGAAUUCCAAAGUGAUAUGUCAAGGAACAAAAAAAUUAUUUAAUGUAAACUAAUUUCAUGCAUACCAAAUUUUACACUCAUAUUUACUUGCUCCAAGCAAAAUUAUUUUGUACACCUAGUGUGUGGAAAUGUGCAGUUGGCUAGAUUAUUGUAUAUUUUCUCUUGUUUAUGUACUCAAGUUAUGUUUCAUAUUGCAUUCAGAGAAACAGUUCAAUUUUUCAAGUAAUGCUUUAUGAUUACUGAAUGUUUUAUUCAACAACAACAACAGCAACAACAAUAACAACAACAACAAUAAUAAUAAUAAUAAUAAUAACAAUAAAAAUUCAUCUUCCUGAUGUAUUGCUAAUUAAGUGUAUAAAUAUAAAAAUAUGCUCGUAAAUACUUUGCUUCACCAAGCACACCUCCCACAAUAGCCAGUAAAAACCCCAAAAAUAAAUGACAGCUCCCCCCCCCCCCCCCCCUCCCCCUCCUCCAUCAUUCAGAAUCACAAGUUUGUUCCUCCUGGAGGAAAGAUGAGUUGGUUGGUGGUGGUGGUGAUGGUGGUGGUGAGCAGGAAGAUAAUCAUCAGAGAGAGGUGGGAUAUUUUCCUACAAUGCUGUCUACUUGAGUAUGGAUGUAUCGUUAAAGUAUAACUAAAACAUCAUUCUGAUUUUAUCACUCUUCCGUAAUGUUCAAAGUCAUGUUGAGAACUUGCUUUAUAAUGCGAUCUACACAUGAAAAUGCAUUUUUUGUUAUUAUUGUUAAUACCUGCUUUAAUCACACAUAUCUUUAACAGUUUACAUGGAAAACAAUCUAAGAAAAUGUCAUGCUUCAGUAAAUAUUGUUUGGCUGUCCUCCUUGAUUAGAUCAUCAGUCUACACAGAGGACAUUUGAAAUUGCAGUAUAUGUCCACAGAAUAUGAGCCAGAAAAAAAAUGUUCUGGCGUUAGUUUCUUUCGAGUGAUCAAGUUUGUCUAGUAUUAAUGCAUGAGUACACUGAUGACGUUUCACUACCAUUAAACAGCUGCUUGCUAAGGUUCCAUAAUAUCUCUUAACACUGUGCACUUUUAUUUCCGCAAUUAUACAGGACAGACACGAUGAUAAGGGAAUGUGGAGAUAUUUUGGUUGGUUGGUUGGUUGGUUUGGUUUAGAGAUGAAAGGGACCAAACUGCAGAGGUCAUCGGUCCCGGAGAUAUUUUGUAUUUCAUUUCAAGCAACUGAAAUUAUCUUUUAGAAUUCUUCAAAAUUUUUACAAUAAGACACAUUUUCCAUGAAGAAGAUGCCCAGAGAAGUAAGGCAAGACAAGUGGUUUCUUCAGUUGUACUACAGUGUUGUAGAGGUCCCAGGUGAUUUCCACACCUUGUACUUUGUAUCUAAUCCUCCAUUCUUUCCACACCAGGACUGUACACACCCUAGUGAUGUGUGUGUGGCUUUUUUUUUGGUCAGCAUCAGUUUUCAAAAGCUCAAGAAACAAAAACUUUUUAUAUGUGUGGAUGAUAAGCAGUCAGCAGAUGGGUCCAUAGAAAAAAUAAAUAUUGAGCCUCUUUCAGUUGCUUUGAGGGAACUAGAAUAGUUUCAUAAAUAAGAGCAGCAAGCAAUACUCUUUGUGACAUGCUUUUGACAGUACAAGAAGUGCAAUUAUGACUGUUGCCAUUAAAUUAAGCAUCACUGAAAGUUCCAAACUGAGCAGUUUUAUGUGACCUGCCACAUUUGUAUAUAUGUAAAUUAUUUAUAUAGUUAUAAUAAAAGUCUUUUGUCCCUCUG